This 253-nucleotide ribosomal RNA is filed under the name uncultured prokaryote. Its description in RNAcentral is "partial 16S ribosomal RNA". It matches the Rfam family "Bacterial small subunit ribosomal RNA", at positions 525 to 777 of the family's 1533-position model. The record is from RNAcentral.
ACGAAGGGGGCUAGCGUUGUUCGGAAUUACUGGGCGUAAAGCGUGCGCAGGCGGCUGCUCAAGUCAGGGGUGAAAGCCCAGAGCUCAACUCUGGAAUUGCCUUUGAUACUGGCGGGCUUGAGUUCCGGAGAGGAUGGUGGAAUUCCCAGUGUAGAGGUGAAAUUCGUAGAUAUUGGGAAGAACACCGGUGGCGAAGGCGGCCAUCUGGACGGACACUGACGCUGAGGCGCGAAAGCGUGGGGAGCAAACAGGA